GUGCCUCUAGCUCAAUCGGUAGAGCACUGGUCUGUGGAACCAGUGGUUGAGGGUUCGAUCCCCUCGGGGCACCCCA
RNAcentral lists this transfer RNA (76 nucleotides) under Chloroflexota bacterium. RNAcentral describes it as "Chloroflexi bacterium tRNA-His". It matches the Rfam family "tRNA". From Rfam's summary of the family: Transfer RNA (tRNA) molecules are approximately 80 nucleotides in length. Lineage: Bacteria; Bacillati; Chloroflexota. The record is from RNAcentral.